This is a long non-coding RNA of Triticum aestivum (bread wheat), 1016 nucleotides long. RefSeq lists it as uncharacterized. The record is from RefSeq and is a predicted model, not a curated record. The transcript has 4 exons. NCBI's taxonomy places the organism in Eukaryota, Viridiplantae, Streptophyta, Magnoliopsida, Poales, Poaceae.
CGCAGAAUCAAUGGCAAGCCGAGUCGACAGAUUAAUGAAGCUUAUAGCCCUCCAAUGCAGUAUCUGUAUGCUUUACAAAACUAUCCGAGUAUUGCAAAAUUGCAUGAUACAUCAAAUUGGAGCGUAGCCUACAUACUUAUGGACUGUGGACUUAUGUUGCUUAUUUAGAGGCUGCCGUACAUGGAUCAGAUAUGAUAUUGAUUGCAGAAAUUUCUAUACGACUCUUGUGGAUUUCAACAUUGUUCUUCUCCCUAAUUUAGGAAAACUACAAGUAUUUGGUGCACGAUCUAAAAUAGCUGCAGGCUAAUCCUCCCCUAAUGUUCAUAAUGUUCUGUGGUACACAAUAUGGGUAAAGGAGAGCACAUUGCUCUAAUGUUUUUGCAUAUGAUAUUAAAUCAGACAUUUCAGUGGAUAAUAUAUGGUAUUGACUUGGACAUUGGUGUUGUGGAACAAUCUAGCAGGUAUUGGAUCUUAUAGAAUUAUAGAGUUGGCAGGGUCUGAAAAUCAUGGUGUUGGUGUUUCAGCCUAUUAAUCUGUAGAUAAAGAAAUUCCGUACAUCUCUACAAAUAAUCCUGAAGAAAGUUCUACUAUUGCGAACGCUCCAACUGAACAAGAAAUAUGAUUUUUUUUUUAUUGAAGAAGAAGCCAGUUUCUCGAGAAGGAAUACAGAAUAAUAUUUUGGAUUAUUUACUUGAGGUCUCAGAUUCAUCGCAUCAACCGUGAGGGGUAGUAUGCAAGGAUCAACCGAUGUGGAUAACAAAAUCUGGGUGCGAGCUUCCGGGAAAUCUAAUUGGGUCUAUGCAAACAAGCAGAUUUGGAAGAUAAUCCCUGUACAUGUUGAUUUGGCAAAUCUUUGACAGUAGCUGUGGGUCUUAUACUGAUGACAAUCAACGUGUCUUUUCCGACCAACCAGGGGUCGAUUCCAACAUAUGUUUUUCUCUUAUAUAAGGGCAGUGACUUCACUACGUUAGGCUGGAUGAUUCGAUGUGUAGUAGCUUCAUCAAACUGGAUGCUAG